This 486-nucleotide ribosomal RNA is filed under the name Triticum aestivum (bread wheat). RNAcentral describes it as "partial small subunit ribosomal RNA". The record is from RNAcentral. Lineage: Eukaryota; Viridiplantae; Streptophyta; Magnoliopsida; Poales; Poaceae.
AUGAAAGAGCAAGUGGCCAUGUUCCUCCGUGUUGUUGGUCAUAACCAGAGGUUCAAGCAAGUGCAGUAUGCUAUUGGGGAGCUCAUCGGAGAGAUGAUCAGAGUACCGAGCUCACAAGUUGCAACAUAUAGAGGGAGGAAGCACCACACAAGCCAGAAUGUGCUAACUGCUGUUGACUUCGAUCUGAAGUUCACAUAUGUGCUAGUUGGCUGGGAAGGAUCAGCACAUGAUGCUAACAUUCUCAGUGACAACAUGAGUCGUCCUGGUGGCAUCAACAUCCCUGAUGGCAAGUUCUACCUUGGAGAUGUUGUCUAUGCAUGUCGGCCAAGUGUUCUUCCAUCCUUCGGGAAAACCAGGUACCAUCUGAACGAGCUUGCUGUUGAUGAAUUUGUGCCGGAGGAGGAAGAUGUGACUCCUGAUGAGGUGAUUAGCUUCGACCAUGGUGUGGAGGCGUUCGAAAAGAAGCAUGGAAGAACAAAAGGAUGA